AUUGAACGCUGGCGGCACGCCUAACACAUGCAAGUCGAGCGGGGGAAGGUAGCUUGCUACCGGACCUAGCGGCGGACGGGCGAGUAAUGCUUAGGAAUCUGCCUAUUAGUGGGGGACAACAUCUCGAAAGGGAUGCUAAUACCGCAUACGUCCUACGGGAGAAAGCAGGGGAUCUUCGGGCCUCACACCAUCGGAUGUGCCCAGAUGGGAUUAGCUAGUAGGUGGGUAAUGGCUCACCUAGGCGACGAUCCCUAGCUGGUCUGAGAGGAUGACCAGCCACACUGGAACUGAGACACAGUCCAGACGCCUACGGGAGGCAGCAGUGGGGAAUAGUGCACAUGGGGCGCAAGCCUGAUGCAGCCAUGCCGCGUGUAUGAAGAAGGCCUUCGGGUUGUAAAGUACUUUCAGCGGGGAGGAAGGCGGUGAAGUUAAUAGCUUCACCGAUUGACGUUACCCGCAGAAGAAGCACCGGCUAACUCCGUGCCAGCCGCCGCCGUAA
Molecule: ribosomal RNA, 499 nt
Filed under: uncultured bacterium
Lineage: Bacteria
Description: partial 16S ribosomal RNA
Rfam family: Bacterial small subunit ribosomal RNA
Source: RNAcentral